ACAGCUCCCCAGGCAUGCUCAGCCGCACGCAGACAGGUGCCCGUGACCCUGGCAGCAGCAUGCCAUUCUGAGGUCACCGCAUCAGGUUCAGACUUGGAAGUGGAGUGAACAUGCUCCCCCAAGUAUGUGGCAUGGCUGGACCACCAGCAUGGGUUUGGGUGAGGCCAGGGCUCUCUUGUUCUCCAGGACUCAGUCUCCAUCACUCACAGGAGUUAAUGUAGCUCUGCGAUGUCACCUGUAGAGGUAGUGUCCUUUUUGCAGUGCUCAGCCUGGACACUUGCGCCAUCUGCUUGAUGGGUUCUUGUGCUGUCCAUCAGAAGAAUCAGAUACGAGCACAACUGCCACUGAAUCGGGACUCUCUGUUCUUACGUUCAAAUACAAGGGAAGCAGCACCUGAUGGACAGAAAUCCAGGCUGACUCAAAUGAAGGACGAAGGUGUACAGCUGUUCCUGGGUCUCUAGGGUAGGGAGGGUCCCAGUCUCUGGCGUCGGGUUCCAGUUGUGCCUGCACUCUUUCUCAUCAUGCUGUUUCAUGCCACAGAUGUCUCACUGCCAUCUCAAGUCCCCCACCCUUGGGCGCGAAUUUUACUAUGCUAAUAACAUAAAUGGAACUGUGGGUUACUCCAGUGACUCUUCUACGCCGGGCUCUUAUUUUCUAUCACCUGGAAUUUGCUCCUCAUGGUCUGGGAAAGUUCCUAAUUGGGUUUGGAGCUGGGCAGAUUGCUACCCUGCUUCAGGGGGUUUGAUUUUAAUGAUCCUGUUUUUGGUGGUACCUCUGCUGACCUCAGAGUCCGAGAGGUCUGAGCUGACUCCCCACUUCUGGUCUCCGGGCGCGUUGUCUUAAUUCUAAAGCCUUGGAGACCGGGCUGCUCUUUAAUUCCUCGUUUUCUGGUGUCCGUGAACCUCAUGAGCCUGAGAUCUAGCUUGCCUGUGUCAUUUCCCCUGCUGGGGAGAUUUCACCACCUUUGCCUUAAGGACUCCCGUUUCUCGGGGGCCCCCUGACUACCUCUUAUGUGCUCAUGUGUUUGCUCUAGAAAUUUUGACUCCCAAAACCACCAGGCAGAUGGCCUGGUUUCAGACCGUGUCCCUACACUUGUUACCUGGUAUGGGGAGGAGCUGCGUGGGGGUUUCAAUGCUUCAGCUCAGAUCCUCAGCAAAUGUGACCAAGUACCCCGAGUCACAGGAUCGCUCUGCACUUGAUUCGAGUUGCAGCUUCUGACCUACCUGGGGCUCAGUUCAUCAGGUGGGGAAGUUGACCUCAAAAGAAGGGUCCUGCAGAUACCAAGUGAGCUGGAGGUGAUCUGGAAUCGAUGCAAGGUCCCUUGGUGGCCCCCAGAGAACUUCCAGGUAUCCCUGUGCUUCUGUGGUCUCCUCCCUGUGAACCUGGGCUCAUCUUAGGACUUUUUUAACCUAGUGGUUCUCAACGCAGGGAUGAUCUUUGCCCUCUGGAGGCACUGGACAAUCUCUAUGGAUGACACAUCUUGGGGGUGGGAUGGGAACACUGUCAUCGAUGGCUGGAGGUCUGCUAAACAUGCCACCACACAUCAAACGGCCACCUCUGACUCCUUCACACCAGAGAGGACUUAGCACCAGAGAGGACCUGCGUCCUCCUCCUACCUCCCCUGGCCACGCGAAGCCUCAGGACAUCCUCAUGUUCUUUCUCCAGGGGUUGAAGGAGCACCUAGCUGGAGGUCUCCCCUGAAGGCUGGUCAAUCACAUCUCUGGAGACCCAGGGACCUGAGUCUCUGCAACUGAGCCAUGGCAAUGCCAAUCAGAAAAGGAAAAGACCAGGUCCCAGGACAAGUUCCCACAACUACCAGGAGCAGGGCCAGGCAGCAGAUGGAAAAGACUCCAGACCUGGAGUCGAGAGCACUUCUAUAAAACAUAGGGAGGAAAAGGUGUCUACAUCAAAGCUUCAUUGACGACAGAUAAGAGGGGCAGGUCGUGUGAAGCAGGGCAAGCUCUGGGCUGGGGCAGGCCAUGAGGAGUGGCUUCGUGCUGCGGGCUCAGCGGUUGCAUCAGAGCAAACAGGGCGCGGCCGCCUUUUUCUCCAUGGACUUAGGUCAUGGUUUCACAUACAUUCAGGACCGUGCAGUAGGGUCUGUGGGUUUCCCAGCAGCUGCUAACUGAUUAACUUCCCCUCCCCACUCUCUAGCCUUUGUAGUUAAAUUCAAGACAACUCAGGAUUUUCCUUUACAUCAUGGGACUGGGGACCCCGACCCUUCAGAAGGCUUCUGGCUUCGGAAGCUCGCCAGGGGAGCCUCAGCAGCCUUCCCUGAUCUCGUUUGUCGCUUCUGGUCAGCAUCCAGCCUGUCUCUGGAAGCCUCUCCAGCCCCCAGAACCAGCUAGUUAGUCACACGGUCAUUUGUCUGGUGAGGAGGUCAGUUGGUAGCUCUGGCUUUCACAUGUGUGGUUAAAAUGAAUUGGCCAAAUUGCAUCUUCUGCUUUGGGAGACGGUUUGGCAGGGAAAGUGGACACCUACGUGGCGAUUCAGGCUUUUCAAUCCCACAUCAAAAUAACUGAAAAUGUAUGUCCAAGAAGACGAACAGGGAAUGUUCACAGAAGCUUUAGACAUCAUUGCCCAAAACUAAUAACACCCACAUGACCAUCAACAGGAAAAUGGAAAACAAACCAUGCUCUUCCCAUGACAAUGGCAUCCUACUCAGGAAUAGCAAGGAACAAGUUACGGAUACGGGAAAUGGGUGAAUUUAAAAGCCAUUAUAUUAGGUGAAAAAAAGCAUAUGUCUGCACAGGAUCUACUAUGCAUCUAAUUAUAUGUAAUUCUAGGAAAAGCAAAAUCAAGCUGAAAGUGAUAGGAAACCAGAACAGUGGUUUCCCUGGGGCCGUGGGCCUGGGGAUCAGCGGGAAGACGUGGGAGGGAUAUUCUGGGGCAUUGGGCUAUGGAUUGUGCCUGGGAUGGUGGUGACACUGCAUUUGUCAAAACAAAUCCAUCUGUGUUUCUCAGAACUGGGCAUGUUUGAAUAUGUAAUUUUGACCUCAGUUGUUUUGUUUUCAAUUUUUUUAAAUAAAAAAAAAUAGAUCAUUUUAAAAGCAAGAAUUAUUUGGUCAGGCCCCAGCUAUUCCAAAGCAAAGGCUUGUCCACCAGCUAGUCAUGACCAGUCACACACACAACUGGCUGCAUUUAUUAGGAUGGGUCGGUGUCGGUGGAAUGAUUAAUUUUUGUUCAUUUUUGAUUGGUCUGAGGGGGCUACUGGGAUAGAUCUUAGUCAAUCAGAGAAAUAGCUGCAGCCUUCUGGAUUUGGGAGUGGAAGGGGUGCCUCUUUGUUGGACAAAUACCAACCACAGAGAAGAGUUAGCCUUGGACUGCCUGCUUUCCACCCAGGCUCCCCCACUAUCUAGCUCUGUGGCCCUGGGCAAAUCACUCACCCUGGGGAGCCUCAGUGUUCUCACCUGUGAAAUUCAGAAAAUCAUUUUACCUAUUACACAGGGAUGGCCAGAUGAACAGGUGGGGUGAUUGGUCUAUAGUGCCCAGCCCAGGAGCCAACUGGAGGUAAUGACAAGAAUGUCCCCCAUCCCCAGUGACCCCAGACCCUCCUAUUUGGGGGGGAAAUAGAUGAUGAAUUCACCCUUUCUUGGUCUUUCAGGCAUCCUUGUAGGGAACUUUCAAUUUUUUUUUUUUUUUUUUGAGACAGGGUUUGUCUACGUUGCCCAGACUGGCCUCAAACUUGUGAUGGCCUCCUGUGUUAUUUGGAUUCCAGGCAUUUUUAAUUAAAAAGAGAAGCAUGGAUAGGGCAAUCCAAAGGAAUAUCUUGCUCCACUGAAGAUCCAGGUGCCUUCAGGAGCUCUAUCUUUUAGGUCAGGGGCUCCAAUCCGGAGUGACCCCUCUCUGCUAUCUCCCAAUAAAUUAAUAACAACUGGAUGCCCACCUGAUUCACCUGCUCAGCAGAGGAAGAGACGUUGGUAGUGAGGGACCAGGGGAAUUCUGAGCCUGGGAACAUGCUGGAGGCCUGCUAAGGUCAUGUUAGGAUCAUAGCCAGUACUUAUUAAGGGCUCACUGCGUGUCAUGUGAUAUAAUCCUGUCAUGUUAAAUUGUCAGUGCCACUUCAUGGGCCCAUAAUCAUUGGUAAGGGUGAAUAUGGAGGCUGAUCAUGGAGGUGUUGCUUGCUGGUGUCAGAUCUAGAUACAAACCCAUAGUUUGACCUUGAAGGUUUAUUGGGCUACUAACCUGUUAGGCCAGCCACUCUGCCCUGCAGUUCUCACCUCUGACCACCAAGAGGUGCCACUGCUUCACACAUGAGCGCUGUCAUAAAUUUGCACUAGAAGAGACAACUUCUUCAAAAUCAUUGUCACUACUUCCUCAUUUCUCACAACAAUAAUAGCUACUAUUCAUUUAAGCGUUUGCAUGCAUGCCGGACCCUGCACCCUGCAUUUCACACACUUUAUUUCAUAUCUUCUCACUAUAGUUCUAGGAGUUGAGACAGGACUGCAUCACACAGAUAAGAAGCUAAGGUUCAAAACCAGGUCUGAGUGUCUGUCUUCAAAGCCCACCCUUCACCAGACACUUGUGGGGGAUCACAAUGGAGAUGCUCAGAGGCGGCAUCUAGCUGGCCCGUGUGGGCUUUUGUCUGUUUGUGGUGAGGAGGGUGGUUUUGAGCACACUUUGUUCCUGUCACCUGCCCGGCCCUGAUGACAUUUGCAUUUGCAACUCUACUUGUGCUGAUAAUAGUUUCCUGGUUCCAUUUAUACUAAUGACAUUUUGUGGACUGGAGUCAAAGGAGCUAAGGAAAAUACCUGAGGGGAAGCUUGGAGGUACGGGAAGGCACGUGGGAAAGGUGACACAGGGGUAGGGAUGUGGGCAAGUGGCCCACCUUGCACUGCCCACAGCUGACCUACCAGGGGAUGCCGUUUCUGCUGUGGAAAGCAUGCACAGCCCCUGACCAGAUGCAUGGAUUCCCUGGGAUGAGCAGUGGCGGGCUGGAGAUGUGGCACAUUCUAUUUCACAGGAUCCUCCCAGAAGAGGGACCCGGUGACUCUUUGCACCCAUACAGAGCCUAUCCAUCCUGUUAAAAUGAGGCUGUUAGAAUAGGCUGAGUCCAAACUGCACGGUUUCCUUGUGGGAGGAAAUUUGGACACACAGCCACCAGGGGUGUGUGCCCAGAUGGAUGACCAAGUGAGGACACGGUGAGAGGGUGUCAUCUGCAAGCCGAGGAGAGAGACCUUAGAAGGAACCGACCCUGCUGGCACCAUGAUCUUGAACUUGCAGCCUCUGGAACUGAAAGGAAAGAAAGGAAAUUCCUUUAGUUUAAGCCCCGAGAGUGUGGCAUUUCCUGACGACAGCUCGAGUAGAUGAAUAAUGCACUGUCUUCGUGAAAGAUGGACUGGGCCGGGCGUCAGCAGGGCUGAGCUGGGAGUCUGGGUCCUAGAGCCAGCCUGAGGCAGGAAGAUGCAGGGGCCUGGGCACCUCCCAAGCCCCCUUCUCCCCAGGGUGAGACAGGAGUCCACAGGGAGCAACUGAUGCCUUUGGUUCCUCGAAUGCUUACUCUUAGGGAUGAGGACUAUCGCUUCUUCAUUGUCAAGAGCACACAGAAGCCAGACUCUUGGUUUCUAGGUUCUCAACUAUGGUCUAGGAGUAAACUGAAGCAUCUGGGCGGGAGACACGGUGUAGCACUCCCCCAGCCGGAGCAGCCAUCGGAGGGGAAGAGGCUGCGUGUCCCUGUGAGCUUGAAGGCAGAAAGGACAGACAGGAAACCCAGAAGUUCCCAGAGACGGGGAAGAAAGCAACGUGCCAGGAAAUAGGAAAGAUAUGGCCUUCGACAUUUGGUGGCCACGCUGGAGCCUGGAGCACAGUGGAGCCGUCUGUGAGGGUCAAGACACUGCCCAGAUAAGCCGGCCAUUGGCACAGGGGUGGGAGGAGGCAUUUGCAGAGCCCAGCACUGAUUCCCUGCGCGCCCUUUCUUAGCACCGGAAGACGCCAUCCACCACAACAAAGAAGCACAGCAAGAGAGAGGAAGAGAUGGACCCCGAGAAGAGAAGACCCUUCACCGCAGAAGGCAGAGGACUUUGCUCAGUAACAAUGAGGGAGGCUGGCAGGUGACAGCUGGGAUAGCGGAGGGGAGACCUGCCCACCUUCCCUGAUCGCUGACACGGCCACCCGUUCUGCUCACAGUCCUCGUGUUGCCCUUGACAUUGCUACGACUUGAAGUCUUAAGUGUAUUUCUUGGUUGAUGUUUGUGUCUCCUGCUAAGAGCAGGUCCAAGGGGGUGGGGAUCGGCCUGCUCUCUUCUUUAUCCCUUUGUCUCGGCAUUAAGUACAGCUAUUAUUAAACACCUGUUGAGUGAAUGCCAACUAACUCCUGUCCAUAUUGAAUGCUGUCCUCUGGGGGGGCAGCCUUCCUCCAUGGCUCUCAUGGCAGAAGGGCAAGCCCGGGGAAAGCCAGGGAACAGAGACGGACAGGUGGGUGGUGGGCGGGGGGGCUUUCUAGAGCAAGACCACAGGAGAGGGCAGAGGCACCUCCAACUCCCGUGUGCAGAGUGAAGCAGGCCAGACUCAGGGUUACAGCAGUCUCUGAUGCUCCGCCCAGGUUCUUAAAAAAAACCUACGACAUAAUAGUCAACAAGCAUUGGGUUGUUGACCCUCUGCACAUACCAUCCCUUGGCAAUCCUAAUGCCCAUUUUGUGUGGUAUGUAAUAGUAUCCCCGUUCUUCAGAUGGGAACAGCAAGGCCUAGAGAAAGAUAGGCAAACAGCAUUGAUUAAAUUGUUCCAUUUAGCUCGUCCCUUUCCCCCACUCGUUUAAUUGUUAGGCUGAACUGUGGUUAUGACCAAUACAGGUUUUCACAUGAAGGGAACCAAUCUUCAAGCAGACGGUUUCCCAGGUGUCACAGCCAGGAAGUGAACCCACAGUCUGUGCCACAGUCUGGGCUUCUUCCCAGACACUGUGCAACCUCCAUUGUGUUUAAAGCCUCUCUGGUCCUGCCCUGCUGGAAUUCACAGUGAAAACUAAGCCAUCCUGUCUAGAACCGUGCCCACAGCCCACCACCCUUGAUUUCCUUCAUUUAAAGGAGAGUGAUCGUUCCUCAGGUCCACUUUACGGGGUAGAAAUCAUUUUGCAGAAAUAAAUAUGUCCAACAAUUCACCAUGUUCUGUAUAAACAUUGAUACUUUGGCUCAGGAGGCUGAGGCAGGAGGAUUGGGAGUUCAAAGCUAGCCUCAGCAACUUAGGGAGGCCCUAAGCAACUCAGUGAGGUUCUGUCUCUAAAUAAAAUACAAAAAAUAAAAAAAAAGGGCCGGGAUGUGGCUCAGUGGGUAAGUGUCCCUGAGUUCAAUCCCCAGUACCAAAAAUACAAAACAAAACAAAACAAAAAAACCCAAACAAACAAAUCUUAAUACUUAAAAAAAUGAUAAGCAGGUGGGACAAAAUUCUUUCUCAAAUGCUGCAUGUCCCUAAGGUACAUGGAGCCAAAGUCAUUGCGUUGAUAUCUGAGGGGCAGCCAGUGUGUGUAGGACACUUUGGCUCUGCACCCAAGCAUCCCCAGGCCUCCAAGUUCCCAACAUCUCACCAAGGCCUCAAAUCUGCUUCUCCCCAUCGCCCUGCCUCCUCCCACUGUCCAGCCUAGUGUUUCCUGAUCUUCCUGAGAUGUGGGAGCCUGGUGGAUGAGGACUUCGGGGUUGUGGGUAGAGGGCAGAUCGGGGCUCCUGUGAGUCCAGGCCCAGAGCUCUGGUGCCCGAGAGCUCGGCCUCAGGGUCUUGUUUCCUGUGUGUGUAAGGAACUUGGGAAGGGAGGCAGUCGGGUUCCGACAGGUGACUCCUUAAUUCUCAGCCCCGUGCAAAUGAUGUAACCUCCGGCAGGUACCCCACCUCUCUGGCCAUGUGUGGCAGGAACCUUUGCCCUGGUGAGUGCCACCAACUUGCAUUUCCCCCAGGUGCAUUUUCUCUGGAAAAUUCUAUCUCCUCACCCUGCAGACUCACAACGGCCACCAGAAAGUGGAAAGCAGGGACCUGUGAGCCUCCAGGCCUUGCUCCCCAGAACUUCCACAUGAUCCUCUGCUUACUCGCCACUGGCUGACUGGCCACUGGGGACCCAGCAGGGACUCCGAGGCCUGAGGGGUGGCAGAGCCACUAGGGAGCAGAACCCUGGUUCUGAGUUUCCUGGGGCUUUGGAAAUGGACCGACCAGGAGCACCAGCACCGGGGUGAGCCAGGCGCAAACUUCUACCGAGGUGGAAGAACUGGUGCUGCCACGUGGCCUGGCCCCUCCUGUCCAGGGCACCGCACCCGGAAAGGGCUUCUGUGUGGAGAGGACAUGGUGGUAAUGAGCGUUGUGGGGAAACCAUCUAAGGACCCAGGUUCAUUGACUCACGGUGGCUACUAUCCCUGAAGAAGAGACAUGACGGCCACGUCCAUCCACCUGUGACAGCGACACCCUCCUGCCCCGCCCACUGCACCCGCCUGACACUUUGAAUCCUUGCCCUCCAGCCUCUGGUGGGCUCCCGGUUUGGGACAAUUUGAGAAGCAGAGCCAAUUAGUACCUGGCAUGUAGAGUGAUUUUUUUAAAAAUCCCAGUUCUAUGAUAGCAUGACAGAGCUUUUUCGCAAAUGAAUUCUUUCAAACUCUUAAGGGCUGAGAAUCCCCUUGUUGACACAUGUGUGUGCGUGUGCUGUACACCAGUAUGUACGGCUGUGUGGCUCAUGUGUGGGCAUGUGUGUGUGCACAUGAUGGACAUGUUUGUGCAAGAUGCACUUAUGUGUCCUGUGGGUGGAUGUGUAGGGCAUGUGUGCACGUGGGAUGUGUGUUUACACAUGUAGUGCAGGUGUGAACACAGUGUGCAUGUGUAUGACACAUGUGCAUGCAGCUACGUGUGUGGAACACAUGCCUCCGUGAGCUACAUACACAUGUGUACUUGUGUGUGGUGUGUGUGUAAUGUGCCCUUGGGUGGGUUUGAUGUAAGUGUAUUUGUGUGGUGUGUGCAUUCAUCUGUACAUACCUUGGGUGGUAUCUGUGUUAUCACACAUGCACACCAACCACACCUGUGCACCAACACACACGUACAUACAGACAUGUACCUUGCACCCCCUGAACACACCGUGCACAGCCAUGAACACCAUGCACAUGGAGAGGUACCCACCACACACGUAUGCACACAUGCUACUCACAAACACAUGCAUGCCACAUGUAUGCACCCCAUCCCACACACGUGGGCACUUUACAAACCCCAGCCGCUCUCAUGCUGUCCGCACAUGCGCCAUUUCACUCCACCUGUGCUGGGCGAGCGGGCAGGGCAGGCUGGGUGUGGGAGGGGGAUGUCGAGGUGGUGUUUGGAUAAGCAUCGUGCAUGAGCCUCACCUUCAACCAGCUCUGCUCCAGAUUACAGAGGUCCUCACGCAGCCACUGUGGGGGUUCCUUGUCUCCAAUUCUUCCAGGAGAAUCCUCCAACAUUCUCCAGGAGCUGCAGUCGGAGUGCCAAAUGCUCUGGGGGUCCUGGGAAUGGGGAAGCCUGGCGUGCUGGAGUCAAGUGUCAACCCCAACCUUGAUCCCAACCUGACCUCCACACUGACCUCCACACUGACCCCAACCACGACUGUAACAUUAGCCCAACUCUAACCACUGAUGGGGCACAGCCCAGGUGUCACCUGCCCCAGGAAGCCUUCGAGACCCCGGCUGGAUAGGGUGCCCCUCUUCUGCAUCUCUUGGCUCCCUUUUGGCAAGGUCCCGUGGUAUUUUUAAGUUUAUAUGUUUAUGGUUUAGAAAAUAAAGUUAUAGUUUAUAAUUAAUUAAAUAUUACUGUUUUCUUUCUUUUUUUAUUGGUUGUUCAAAACAUUACAGAGCUCUUGACAUAUCAUAUUUAAUAUUACUGUUUUC
RNAcentral lists this long non-coding RNA (9814 nucleotides) under Marmota monax (woodchuck). The record is from RNAcentral. Lineage: Eukaryota; Metazoa; Chordata; Mammalia; Rodentia; Sciuridae.